UGCUGCUUACAAUUAUCUCUAUCUAUAAUGAACUUAGCCCAGUAGUUUCAGUGGAAAAUGUUGGUAAAAAUUUACAAAUUAUAUGAAAAUUGGUAAAAAUUUACUAUAAAGGACAAUAACUCCUUAGGGGUCAAUUAACCAUUUUGGUCAUGUUGACUUAAUUUUAGGUCUUACUUUGCUGUACAUUAUUGCUGUUAAGUUUAUCUCUAUCUAUAAAAAUAUUCAAGAUAAUAACAAACUAGAGGCCCUCAAGAGCCUGUGUCCCUCACCUUGGUCUAUGUGCAUAUUAAACAAUGGACACAGAUAAAUUCAUGACAAAUUGUGUUUUGGUGAUGGUGAUGUGUUUGUAGAUCUUACUUUACUGAACAUUAUUGUUGCUACAAUUAUCUAUAUCUAUAAUGAACUUUGCCCAGU
Molecule: long non-coding RNA, 414 nt
Filed under: Mytilus galloprovincialis (Mediterranean mussel)
Lineage: Eukaryota; Metazoa; Mollusca; Bivalvia; Mytilida; Mytilidae
Source: RNAcentral